This 429-nucleotide ribosomal RNA is filed under the name Chloroflexota bacterium. RNAcentral describes it as "Chloroflexi bacterium partial 16S ribosomal RNA". It matches the Rfam family "Bacterial small subunit ribosomal RNA", at positions 355 to 776 of the family's 1533-position model. Lineage: Bacteria; Bacillati; Chloroflexota. The record is from RNAcentral.
UGGGGAAUAUUGCACAAUGGGCGCAAGCCUGAUGCAGCCAUGCCGCGUGUAUGAAGAAGGCCUUCGGGUUGUAAAGCACUUUCAGCGGGGAGGAAGGCGAUAAGGUUAAUAACCUUGUCGAUUGACGUUACCCGCAGAAGAAGCACCGGCUAACUACGUGCCAGCAGCCGCGGUAAUACGUAGGGCGCGAGCGUUGUCCGGAAUUAUUGGGCGUAAAGGGCUUGUAGGUGGCUGGUUGCGUCUGUCGUGAAAGCUCAUGGCUUAACUGUGGGCUUGCGGUGGGUACGGGCUGGCUUGAGUGCAGUAGGGGAGGCUGGAAUUCCUGGUGUAGCGGUGGAAUGCGCAGAUAUCAGGAGGAAUACCGGUGGCGAAGGCGGGUCUCUGGGCUGUUACUGACACUGAGGAGCGAAAGCAUGGGGAGCGAACAGG